CGCGGUGCCACGGCCUUCACGCUGAGUGGCCUUGACUCAGUUCCCUCUCCGCGGUUUCCCGGCCAACCCUUCCCCUCGCUGCCUCUCAGGAAAAACCAAGUCCACGCUCGUUGGGAUUUCCUCGCGGCGCCCUGCAUGUCCUCGGGUAUAGAAAGGGCGGCCACCACAGCAGAGGCACCACUUCCCUCGCAAGACACGCAAGAUGAAGUUCGCCAUCGUCCUCAGUUGCCUUGUCCUGCUGGCCGCCGUGGCUGCCGCAGCGCCUUACGCCCCCGAAGACGAAGAUGGCUUCAGUGCCUUUAUCCCCAUGUUGAUGUCAGACUACGACCGCUUUCUGGAAGAGGAGAGAUGCUCCUGGGUAAAGAAAUGCACCAAAGGAAUUUGUUCCCGCGUCAGAGAUUGCCAGUGAGCACCAUCGUGGGAGCUAAAGAGGCAGCUUCUCAAGACGCCCAUAACCUCCACGUAUAUCCACCAGCUGCCAAGCUACACGACCUCUCUGUGAUUGAUAUGUUUAGCUCUGUCUCAUCCCCACCCACCGACAAGCUCAUGGUCCGCCACCGAGCCUGUGAUGUCCUCGUCACGCACACUAUACCUGAAGGGAAGCUGAUCUACUCCUGCAGCUCCUGCCUGUCAUCACCACAACCAUCACCACUAUCAUUAUCACAUUCUUCCUUCACUCCAAACAGCCACACAGGCAUCAGACAUGUUUAUAUAUAUAUAUAUAUAUAUAUAUAUAUAUAUAUAUAUAUAUAUAUAUAUAUAUAUAUAUAUAUAUAUAUAUAUAUAUAUAUAUUCCUAUCAUAUCAUACUACUACUACUACUACUACUACUACUACUACUACUACUGUCACUGCUGUCGUUGUCCGUACAGAUGUAAUGAAGUAUUUAGUAAGAAAAUAAAAAUGAAUUGAUCUUU
This is a long non-coding RNA of Portunus trituberculatus (swimming crab), 916 nucleotides long. RefSeq lists it as uncharacterized. The record is from RefSeq and is a predicted model, not a curated record. The transcript is spliced from 2 exons. Lineage: Eukaryota; Metazoa; Arthropoda; Malacostraca; Decapoda; Portunidae.